RNAcentral lists this long non-coding RNA (620 nucleotides) under Mytilus galloprovincialis (Mediterranean mussel). The record is from RNAcentral. Lineage: Eukaryota; Metazoa; Mollusca; Bivalvia; Mytilida; Mytilidae.
AAUGUUGGCUCUUUUUAUAUCUUUUAUUCUUAUGAAUUAAUUAUUUUAAGCAUGAGAAUUAAGAAAAAAUUAUAAUUUUGCACUUUCAGACAUGCUUUGAAGAAUUUUUGUUUCAACUUUUUUUUUUAAUGGAACUGAAAAAAAUCACCACUAUCACUCUCAGUCUUAACGGUUUUCGGUUCCUACGAAUAGAAUUAUUGUUCACUUUCUUAUAUCUUGCAUAAAGAAAACACUAGUUCAAAAUUAAACUAAUUUUCAGACAGCUAAUUAUCAAUCAAUUCAUUAUCUUCGUUUUACGGCUGAAAAACCUUUAUUGAUCGGUCAAAAAUCAGUGUAAGUCACUAAGACUGUUCGGCGAUAGAUAAUUUGUUAAGGAUACAUAAGCUAGGGUUUCUUAAAAGGAGUUCCUUGACACAAGUCAACUGGAAUAAAAUCCCAGUUGUAUGGAUACCAGUCCAGUACCAAUGUAUUUACCGAAAUGAAAAAAUAUGUAAAGGUCUUUAUAGUAAAAGGGUAUUAUCAAACAAUUUUUGUGAAAGUUCAUUCUUAUAUGUAUAUAAUGGAUGAUGGCUGGGUAAAUGAUUCAAAUUUUAUUAUUACCAGAAAGUGAAUAAAAUUAC